Molecule: long non-coding RNA, 2996 nt
Filed under: Gossypium barbadense (sea-island cotton)
Lineage: Eukaryota; Viridiplantae; Streptophyta; Magnoliopsida; Malvales; Malvaceae
Description: long non-coding RNA (GBAR_LNC007822)
Source: RNAcentral
AAAAUUUGAGUUCAACUUAUAUUUAAAUUGGAACUGUUUUUCUCCAAAUUUGUUUUUAUUUUUUUGUACAUAAUGAAGGAAAAACUAAUGAAAGCUUGCGAGGCACAUGUCGCCCGUUGCAAUGCUUCUCUUCUUAGUUUGUGGUGUCUAAUGGUGACGAAUUGGUGGAGAUUUUAGAUCUCUUUGAAUGCUGGUUUGAAGUUUCUACCCUGCUUUGGCACAUCCAAGAAUGAUGUUGAUCAAUUUUUUUUUGUCACUGUCCAACAGCCUCUAGGAAAAAAUAUUGUGAGACUUAAGGAACAAAGGAAUAACCUAGAGGAUAGGAAUUCUAAUUAGUAGCAGACAUAAAAUUUGGGAAGCAGCUGCUGGUUGAGUUUUAGUUUGACUGAUAUAAGUAUUGUUGUUAAUGUAAGAGGACGUAAAUUUAAAUGUGUUGAAACGCGCUAUUCUCCUACUUAUGGGUUGAGAAAGAAUCAUGAUUAGCAAUUAUAAUUUUAAUAUCUUUAUCCAAAAUAUGCUAAACUCUUGGAGUUGAAGUGAAUAGAAACAAAAAAUAAAAGAAAGCAGGAAAUAGAGGUGGGAAUAAAGGGGGCAAAAACGUGAAAUUGAAAGGAAGACCAUAUUUUUCAACAACCAAUGCUUUUUGUCGGGCUUUAGGCAUUAAAAAAAGGCAUCUCUCCAUCCAUGUGCACCUUCUCAGACCUCUAAAUUCUUCUACCCCAAAUGGCAAUGUGUUAUUUUAAUUUCAAGAAUUUUCAAAUCCAGUAACAUAUUUGAAUUUUGUUCUACAUGAUUUUAUCCUAUUCUUCUUAUAUUUAGAAUUUAACUUUUAUUUUUUUAAAAUUAUUUUUUUAUUUUUCAGAUUUCAAAAUCUAUAAUCAACUGUUAACAUCAUUAAAUUUAUUGGUGUGAUAUUUUUAAAAAAAAAUUACUUAAUAGCUAUGUAUUACAAAAAUAAUAUUGUAACGAACCUAAAUUUUAUAAAAAAUAAUUUUAAUAAUUAGAUUUAAAUUUUAAAUCUCAAAAGGCAGCCAAAAUAUCUUCACAAACUCUCCAAAAAUCUUAAAUUGUUACAAACAAUUCUAAAAACUCCGUAUCAACAACCACUAAUAUCUGUAAAAGUAGAUUCGAAUUAAAAAUUAUAUCCAAAUAUAUCAUUCAAAUUGUGUCCCAACCCACACUCAUGGCUGGAUAUCAUUAUGUUUUUACUUAUUAUUAAUAAUUAUAAUCACACUUUUAAGCCUAGUGCUCACUUUUCCCCCAUAAAUCAUGAACUAAAAUAUUGCAAUCCAUUGAUCUUCAAUCUUCAGUGUUGCCCAUCCAUCAUUUAUAUAUGUUAAUGCAGUUUUUGUCUACGUUUUUACUCUGGUUCUCUUUCAUCAUUCAUCUCUUACUUUGUAUUAUUUUGUAAAAUAAAUAAAUAAUUUUUGAUAAUUUCACAGCUAAAAUUGAUAGGUGAAACUAAUUCAGUUAAAUUCUACGCUAAUCAUGAGUUUUAAAGCUACUUCAUACUUAAAGGCGAGAUCAAAUCCUCAAUCAUUGAUUGUACGAGAAACAACUGCCAUUUCACCUAACCAAGUGAUUAACAUCUAGAUUAUUUUAUCAAUAUCUUAGUUCUUUCUUGUGCUAAACAGAUCAGCCUCCAUGAUCAUUAUUAUUGUUAUUAUUAUUACUAUUAUUAUUAUUUAAUCGUUAAUGUAAAUGCAAAAUAAAUCUUAAUUAGUAUCUAAUGAUAUCAAUUAAAUAGUUAAUAUUUUUAUGAUUCAUUAAAUUAUCUGCUUACUUUCUCUAUUUAAAAAUUUUAGUUUAAUUUUUUUUUGUUAAUUUUUGCUUAAUAAGGUAUGAUUUAAGGGUGAGGUGAAAAUUCUUUUUAAAUGGAUUAGAAUUUAAUUAUAAUGUUUAGAGUGUUAAAAUAUAAAUUUAAUAUUAAAUUAACUUAAAGAUUUUAUAAUUUUAAAAGAGCUAAAUUAUGUCAUUGUCUCUUGCAUUUAACUUCUAAUUGUGUUGAUACCACGAAUUAAUGUAACACUACUUCAAUUGUGAUAUUAUUUAAAUAUUAUUUUUAUACAAUGUGACAAAUAUUAAUACAAGUGCGUUUAGGGUUUAUGUGCCUCAAUAGCUAUAUUUUUCUUUUCGAAUUUUGAAAUUUCAAUCCUAACUCAAAUGAUAAUAAUUAAAUUUGCUAAGCUCAAUUUUGCUAUUAGUCUCAACUCUCGUAUUAUGUGUAAAUUGUGACUUUAGUCUCCAUAAUCUAAAUUUGAUAAUUUUGAGUCUAUAAUUUUCAAAUUUUAAAAUUUAAGUCAUUUAAAUGCAUUAGCAAUAAUGCAACUUUUUAUAUGUGAAAAUAACAAGUUAAAAUGAUAUUAUAUAUAUACUAGUAUAUUUUUCGCAUAAGAUUUUAAAAAGAACAAAUUUAACGUCUUAGUUUGAAUUGAAAUUUCAAAAUUAGAACGAAUUUAGUAUAGAAAAUUAAAAUCCAAGGACUAAUACAAGAAUUUGACAUAUUUUAAUAUAAAAAAUUAGAUAUAACGGAAGCUUAACAAGAUGGCAUUAUGGUAAAUAAGGGAAAAGAUUAAGGCCAAACAGAAAUAUGAGUGCGUUAUUUAACCGGCACAAAAGAGUCUAACCUGCACUUCACUGUAAUCAACAGCCAUGGCCGCCAUGGCUUCUUCUUCUUCUUCUUCUUCUUUUUCUUCUUCUUCUUCUUCUUCUUCUUCAUCUUCUUCCUCGUGUUAUGUUUGAAAAUCACUGCCAAAAAAACAUACAUUGUCCAAAUGAAACAUCAAGAUAAGCCACUUUCUUUCGAAACCCACCAUGAUUGGCACAGUUCGAGUUUACAAUCACUCACCGAUUCCCCACCCGAGUCACUUCUUUAUUCAUAUACUGAAGCUUUUAAUGGCUUCGCUGCUUCUCUAAAUGAAGAACAAGCUGAGUCUCUUAACAAAUCGGAAUCCAUUCUGGGUGUUUAUGAAGAUACUGUUUACACUCUCCAUACU